GUGUCACAACGGCUUCCUGACGUGACACACAAUCAUCCAUUUGGAGCA
This 48-nucleotide non-coding RNA is filed under the name unclassified sequences. RNAcentral describes it as "SAM-SAH-Weickhmann-2018 RNA". It matches the Rfam family "SAM/SAH riboswitch aptamer". The record is from RNAcentral.